RNAcentral lists this ribosomal RNA (253 nucleotides) under uncultured bacterium. Its description in RNAcentral is "partial 16S ribosomal RNA". It matches the Rfam family "Bacterial small subunit ribosomal RNA", at positions 524 to 776 of the family's 1533-position model. The record is from RNAcentral.
UACGUAGGUGGCAAGCGUUGUCCGGAUUUACUGGGCGUAAAGGGUGCGUAGGUGGAUAUUUAAGUCAGAUGUGAAACCCCUGGGCUCAACUCAGGAACUGCAUUUGAAACUGGAUGUCUAGAGUGCGGGAGAGGUAAGUGGAAUUCCUAGUGUAGCGGUGAAAUGCGUAGAGAUUAGGAAGAACACCAGUGGCGAAGGCGACUUACUGGACCGUAACUGACACUGAGGCACGAAAGCGUGGGUAGCAAACAGG